This 377-nucleotide ribosomal RNA is filed under the name uncultured bacterium. RNAcentral describes it as "bacterial SSU rRNA". It matches the Rfam family "Bacterial small subunit ribosomal RNA", at positions 521 to 896 of the family's 1533-position model. The record is from RNAcentral.
UAAGACGAAGGUGGCAAGCGUUACUCGGAAUUACUAGGCGUAAAGCGCGAGCAGGCGGUUCGGUAAGUCUGUCGUGAAAGCCCCGGGCUCAACCCGGGGAGGUCGAUGGAUACUGCCGGACUCGAAUACGGGAGAGGUCACUGGAAUUCCUGGUGUAGCGGUGAAAUGCGUAGAUAUCAGGAGGAACACCGAAGGCGAAGGCAGGUGACUGGACCGUUAUUGACGCUGAGUCGCGAAAGCCGGGGGAGCAAACAGGAUUAGAUACCCUGGUAGUCCCGGCUGUAAACUAUGUUCACUAGGUGUGGGAGGUAUCAACCCCUUCCGCGCCGACGCUAACGCAUUAAGUGAACCGCCUGGGGAGUACGGCCGCAAGGUUG